UUUUGGCUACCCCUUAAAGGCGUAAAAUUGACCCGUUAUUGAGAACCUCCACUAUCUGUCAAAUAAAGGGUCAUUUUAACGGAUCAAUAUUACCCCUUAUUUCGGAAGGCUUGAUUCCCUUCAAAAAGGGUAGUUUUCAAUCUUGUCAUUUUUCAAACGUUUCAUUUGCGGUCGUGAAUCGUGAUGAUCUUGGAACUAGGAAAUGGUGUUUCAUCACCUAAUUUGCAGCACAAAGACGGUUUCGUAUCGGCACUUCAAGCCAGCCGAUGUUGUCGGAUUCUAACUUUUCGUCAUCUCGAUACCGCUACCGCUAGGAAAACGUCCAGGGCAAAUGGGAAUUCCGGACAAAAAAAUCGUAACGGAGGACCGGCAUUUAAAAACUUCCUAUAAUUAUUAAUGAACAAUCUUAUUCCAAAUAAUACAUGAUGUUUUUAAAUAUAGUAAUUCAGUUUUAUUUUGAUUAGACAUUUCAUUGCUUUUUAUUCCAUUCAACAAGCCACUGCUCACAUCUCUAUCCAGCGCAAGCGUUUCAAAUAAGGGGUAGUUUU
Long non-coding RNA from Uranotaenia lowii, 548 nucleotides. RefSeq lists it as uncharacterized. The record is from RefSeq and is a predicted model, not a curated record. Lineage: Eukaryota; Metazoa; Arthropoda; Insecta; Diptera; Culicidae. The transcript is spliced from 3 exons.